RNAcentral lists this ribosomal RNA (1005 nucleotides) under Haptophyta environmental samples. RNAcentral's name for it is "SSU rRNA". It matches the Rfam family "Eukaryotic small subunit ribosomal RNA", at positions 427 to 1457 of the family's 1831-position model. The record is from RNAcentral. Lineage: Eukaryota; Haptophyta.
AGCAGGCGCGUAAAUUGCCCGAAUCCUGACACAGGGAGGUAGUGACAAGAAAUAACAAUACAGGGCUACAUCUAGUCUUGUAAUUGGAAUGAGUACAAUUUACUUCUCUUAACGAUGAUCAAUUGGAGGGCAAGUCUGGUGCCAGCAGCCGCGGUAAUUCCAGCUCCAAUAGCGUAUAUUAAAGUUGUUGCAGUUAGAACGCUCGUAGUCGGAUUUCGGGGCAAGCCUUCCGGUCUGCCGAUGGGUAUGCACUGGUCGGCGCGUCCUUCCUUCCGGAGACCGUGCCUACUCUUAACUGAGCGGGGGCGGGAGACGGAACGUUUACUUUGAAAAAAUCAGAGUGUUUCAAGCAGGCAGCUUGCUCUUGCAUGGAUUAGCAUGGGAUAAUGAAAUAGGACUUUGGUGCUAUUUUGUUGGUUUCGAACACCGAAAUAAUGAUGAGAAGGGACAGUCAGGGGCACUCGUAUUCCGCCGAGAGAGGUGAAAUUCUCAGACCCGCGGAAGACGAACCACUGCGAAAGCAUUUGCCAGGGAUGUUUUCACUGAUCAAGAACGAAAGUUAGGGGAUCGAAGAUGAUCAGAUACCGUCGUAGUCUUAACCAUAAACCAUGCCGACUAGGGAUUGGAGGAUGUUCACUGAUUGACUCCUUCAGCACCUUACGGGAAACUAAAGUCUUUGGGUUCCGGGGGGAGUAUGGUCGCAAGGCUGAAACUUAAAGGAAUUGACGGAAGGGCACCACCAGGUGUGGAGCCUGCGGCUUAAUUUGACUCAACACGGGGAAACUUACCAGGUCCAGACAAUGUGAGGAUUGACAGAUUGAGAGCUCUUUCUUGAUUCGAUGGGUGGUGGUGCAUGGCCGUUCUUAGUUGGUGGAGUGAUUUGUCUGGUUAAUUCCGUUAACGAACGAGACCUUAGCCUGCUAAAUAGUGACGCGAACACUUCGUUCGUGGAGCCACUUCUUAGAGGGACACUUGUCUUCACAAGUGGAAGUUUGAGGCAAUAAC